UAUGUUACCUAAUGAUGGUACAGUGUGUUUUAUCAGUAUGGUGGAACAAAUCGACAGUACAAUUGCUGUUAAAACUAAAAAUGGUGAAGUUCAACGUUGUCGAGUAAUUUUGACAAAUAAUAAAGACUGGAAGGUUCAAGUUACUAUAUGGGGCAAUAACAUAAAUCGAGUUAUACAUAACUUUAAAACAUCAUUUGUGGUACAUGUAUCCGGAGCUUUUUCUCAAAAACGUUAUUCUAAGAGUUUAGGAAAUGUCCCUAUGGAUUUAACUAUCAAAGAUUAUACAGUUGUGAAUGUCAUUGGAAAAAUUCGAGAAUAUGAGGAAACUAAAAUUUAUGAACCAGUUACUAUUCAAAACAUUUUAAAUUCUAA
Molecule: non-coding RNA, 372 nt
Organism: Nylanderia fulva
Lineage: Eukaryota; Metazoa; Arthropoda; Insecta; Hymenoptera; Formicidae
Source: RefSeq, a predicted model, not a curated record